AACUCGUUCAAAAUAGAGAUUUAACUAAUAUGGCACCAGGGGUGGCUCUUUGAGUAUCUUUUCAUCCUAUUAUCUUAUAACUCCGAAAAUUCUAAAAUAUUUAUUUUUUCAACCUUUUCGGCUUUUCAAUUAAAUUCCAUGUGGUAGCUUCACAUACUUACCGGACGACCGGGGUGGCAGCUCUUUCCUACAUGUGGUGGUAGUUUUCACACUCCUUUUUAGAUGUAACUCUUUCCACAUCUUUUAAACAUAGGAGUUCCUUUUUUUUAAAUAAUUUCAAACUCCCCUUAAAUUAGACAAUCUCACAAUUGAAAAUAAUUUUGACAAAUUUUAGUCUCUUAGCGAAUAUCCAUCUAUCAUAUCCAACACACACAACCGAGAUAGAUUAAUCAUAAAGAGAUCAAAUUUGAUUUCAAAAUUUUGAUGAAUAUAUGUAUUAAGAAAUCAUAUAUUAAAUUAUCGUCAAAAUAAUAAAAAGUGGAGUAAAACCGAUAAUUAAUAUGAAUUUAAUUCAAGAUGAAUUCUGGUUAAAACACUUUGAAAAAAUCUAAUCUUCCCAAAAUAAAGAUUUUCAAUCGUUUCCUUCCUCAAAAAAAAAUUUAAAUUUCCAAACACCUUUCCUCAAAUCAAUUUUAAAAAUAAAUCUCACACUCGAAAAUCAUCAUGUAAUGCAAUGAAGAAGAAAUAUGCAACAAGCACCAAACAAAGCAUUACAUAAUCAAUCAAAACAAAUUAAGAUAAAGAGUAAGGAAAGAUAUCACCUUUCCGAAUCCAAACUUGUCGGAUUCUUGGUUGUCUU
Molecule: long non-coding RNA, 799 nt
Filed under: Ananas comosus (pineapple)
Lineage: Eukaryota; Viridiplantae; Streptophyta; Magnoliopsida; Poales; Bromeliaceae
Description: long non-coding RNA (ACOM_LNC023205)
Source: RNAcentral